Molecule: ribosomal RNA, 252 nt
Filed under: uncultured bacterium
Lineage: Bacteria
Description: partial 16S ribosomal RNA
Rfam family: Bacterial small subunit ribosomal RNA
Source: RNAcentral
UACGGAGGAUGCGAGCGUUAUCCGGAUUUAUUGGGUUUAAAGGGUGCGCAGGCGGCGUGUCUAGUCAGCGGUAAAAUGUCGGGGCUCAACCCCGGCCGGCCGUUGAAACUGGCGUGCUCGAGUUGGAGAGAAGUAUGCGGAAUUCGUGGUGUAGCGGUGAAAUGCAUAGAUAUCACGAAGAACCCCGAUUGCGAAGGCAGCAUACCGGCUCCACACUGACGCUGAGGCACGAAAGCGUGGGUAUCGAACAGG